AUUUCCAGUCAGAAGUGUUUUCUCAGAACCACACAUUGCCGGGACUAGACGCCACUACAGUACAUUCCAUCGACGAAAAACCAUCGUAUGCGUCUAUAAAACUGAGCUAGCUCUGCUCUACAUUGGCCACUAGAACAGGAGCAGUAUGUACGCGAUAGCCGUGCUUAUGAGAGUGCUAGUGCUUGUGGCUGCGCUGCUCCUCGUCAUGGACGCCGUCGCCGUGGAAGGCCGGAAGAUGCUCGGAGGCCGCGGUGACGGUUCGGCGCCAGGCUCGCCGGCCGGAAACCCCCCCGGAAAUCAUCGUUCGUGAUCCACUAGAUCAUUUAGAUGGCAAGUCCUCGAUCCAGAAGCGAGAAGAAGCUGUAUUCUUCAGGUAGUCUACCCGUGCACCGGUUUGCUCCGUUCAUGAUCAUCACUGCAGCGUAUGGAGGACCGCAACCUCUUUACGGAGGCUUGUACUCGGUUGAAAGACACGGUGAAGGAUUUUAUUUCUAUACAUGAGUGGCGGCAUAGUCUCAAGAUUGCUCCACCGUUACCUUAGUAUUCCAGGUUACGUCCUGCGUUCUUCCUUUUGAUUUGUCAAACUUGAAUUUGUUUGCUUUUUGUGUU
Molecule: long non-coding RNA, 609 nt
Organism: Lolium perenne
Lineage: Eukaryota; Viridiplantae; Streptophyta; Magnoliopsida; Poales; Poaceae
Source: RefSeq, a predicted model, not a curated record